UUUAUAUACAUAUAGUUCAAGAUUCUUAUUUUUCAUUUAUUACAGAUGGGGACUAGAAAGAUAGUAAAAUCGGAGAAGAAAAGGUUCAUCAUAUGGAAUUUCUUCUGUGGAUUUUCUGACUGGUGUUGAGUUCGGGAAACAAAGGGAAUGGAAAACGAGGAAUAUCGGGCGAAUUGCAAUUGGGUUUGCAGAGGAAGGUGCAGAUGGAGGAGCAUAAGGCGCUGGUUCAGAGUCAGAGGGUAGAGAAGGAAUCUGUGAAAAAUCGCAUUUGGCGGUGACUGGAGAAUUUGCGGUGCGAGAAACGCGAGGACGAAGUUUCAUGGAUACGGAGACUGGAGGAUUCGGUGCGGAAGAAGAAGAGGAAUUAGAAGGACCGAAGAUAUUAAAGCUAUGAUUAUUCUUUAAACGAAAGCUGUCUUCUUGUCGAUUAUUUAGUUCGGCUAAUUUUCGUGCCCUCCUAUUUCGUCGAUUCCGAAUGUGUUAAACCGCGGUGCGAGAGACGCGAGAAUGGACUUUCGCGGUUUUAAGAACUUGAGAGUCCAUUAAAAUUUAAAAUAGUUAUGAUAUCACUGAUUGUGAGUAGAAAAGUUUUUUUUCUAGAGUUGUGUUUAUUCGGCAACUAUUCGAUAUCCUGCUAUUCAGCAAUGUUUAAAAAAAAACAAAAUAACAAUAAUAAUGAUAGUAAUAAUAAUAAUAAUAGUGAAAGUAAAAAUAGGAGACAGAGAUGCAACAAAUAGUAAUAUUCGGCACUUAACGAAUACCGAAUAUUCGGUAGUCAUGAACCGAAUAGCUGAAUAUUCAGCAAAUAUUCGACACGGAUAAAAACAUGUAAAUAUCAAAAAAUAUUGAGAAAAAAAGAAUGUCGAAGAAAAAGAUUAUUGAAAAAAAGAUAAAGAAAUAUCGAAUAAUUGCCAAAUAUUCGUCGCAAAUCUAGUUUUCUCUCUCUCUCUCUCUCUCUCUCUUACUCUUCAAAAAUUUUCUUACGUUGAUUUUCAAGCUAAACAAUUAAUUUUGUAUAGCAUAGAAAAAAGAACAUCAGGGAAUAGAACCUUAAGAGUCUAGCCAAAGCUAAAUUCAAGUAGCGAGAAUGAAAAUGCUAAGAGUCUAACUAGAGGUAAACUUAAAUAACAAGAAUAAAAAUGAAGGAAUAAGGUAAACGUAAUGCAGUAGUAAUGGACGGCUGAUUGGACUUGGCCUGCGUGUUCCUUUUGUGCACACACUCGUGGCGAAAAGAUGAGACUUUGAAAAGAACCUAGUCCGAAUACGAUUAAGUAAAACAAUUAACGGCACGGAGUGAGCUUUAAGUUUGAAGUCGCAAAAAACUAAGUUGAACGUCCGUGACUAUAGCCUUUAAAAUUUUGACUUUGGAUCUCUUUUUCGUAUUCUGUGUCGGCCUUUUUAUAUUGGAAAGUAUGGGUGGAUCUAACGAAUUUCGAUCCCCCAUCAAACUCAAGCAAGUCCAAUGAAGACGCUUCUAAUUCGGCUUAACCAAUUGUUGAUGAGAAGUGUCCGAGGAAUAUCGUAUCUUCCUUGUCUAGGAUUGGACGUGCGAGAUUAGUGUCACUAAGACAUGAGGUUAAAGCAUUUGGGUCUCGCCUUCCAUACAUGGCUGUUCUGUUAAUCUCAUAAACAAGAGCUCUCUUUGGGACGGAGUAUAUCGAUCGCCAAAUUUAUGAUCUUGUGCGAAUGCUAUGUGUUUGUCUAAUAGGACAGUUUGUAUAUCUACUGUCAUGUGACACUUCCCAGCGCACUCGUAAGGCGGUCGGGUUCACCCAUCAUAGACCUAAUUUAUUUGUCUCUUAAGGAGAAGAUCUGUACAGUUUUUGUCUCGAGCAAACCGAAAUAUCGAGAUCCCGUGCUGACAGUAUAAAUAAAGGAAAAAAAUCUUUGAGUCUGGACGUAACACAGCAAAUCAUCAAAAAUUUUAAUAAUCAACAUAACUGAAUAAAAUUUAUUAAAUUUACUAUGGAUUUUGUAACUGAAUGACAGUAAUAAUAUCAACAUCUUGAUCAGAGAGCUUGUAUAUUCAGACAUUUUUCAUGGUUUUAUUUAUGUGUGUCUUAAAUGGAUUAAAAAAUUGUAUCUUAUAUUUUGUUAAACUUGAUUGGCAUAAGAUGCUGAAGAGAAUAGGAUCGAAUAGUAUACUGAUUGUAAAUGCAAAAAAUUGGUAAGUCUGUGUAGUCAUACACUGAUAAAAAGAUUAAAAAGGUACUUAAAAAUUUAUUUGUAUAAUGUAUCAGAUAUAAAUUUAUUUUACUGAAAUAGAUCUUUAGUUAAAUAAA
Molecule: long non-coding RNA, 2282 nt
Organism: Solenopsis invicta (red fire ant)
Lineage: Eukaryota; Metazoa; Arthropoda; Insecta; Hymenoptera; Formicidae
Exons: 2
Source: RefSeq, a predicted model, not a curated record